CAAUAGCGUAUAUUAAAGUUGUUGCGGUUAAAAAGACUCGUAGUUGGAUUUCUGCCGAGGACGACCGGCCCGCCCUCUGGGUGAGCAUCUGGCUCGGCCUGGGCAUCCUCUUGGAGAACGUAGCUGCACUUGACUGUGUGGGGCGGUAUCCAGGACUUUUACUUUGAGGAAAUUAGACUGUUGCAAGCAGGCAUACGCCUUGAAUACAUUAGCAUGGAAUAAUAAGAUAGGACCUCGGUUCUAUUUUGUUGGUUUCUAAAGCUGAGGUAAUGAUUAAUAGGGAUGUUGGGGGCAUUCGUAUUUAACUGUCAGACGUGAUAUUCUUGGUAUUUGUUAAAGACGGACUACUGCGAAAGCAUUUGCCAAGGAUGUUUUCAUUGAUCAAGAAACGAAAGUUAGGGGAUCGAAGACGAUCAGAUACCAU
RNAcentral lists this ribosomal RNA (424 nucleotides) under uncultured eukaryote. Its description in RNAcentral is "SSU rRNA". It matches the Rfam family "Eukaryotic small subunit ribosomal RNA", at positions 592 to 1018 of the family's 1831-position model. The record is from RNAcentral.